Long non-coding RNA from Sorghum bicolor (sorghum), 510 nucleotides. RefSeq lists it as uncharacterized. The transcript is spliced from 4 exons. The record is from RefSeq and is a predicted model, not a curated record. NCBI's taxonomy places the organism in Eukaryota, Viridiplantae, Streptophyta, Magnoliopsida, Poales, Poaceae.
CGCUCAUGCCAGCCGCCGCCCGCUGCGCAGCUCGGAGAUCGGCGCGACGAUGGCCCAAGCAAACGAUAGUAGGAGAUGGUGACACCACCGCGACACACCUCGCCGCCGCACGCGCGCAGCCAAAGCUGCACGCAGCACUACCAUGGCGCCCUUUGCUGGCCACGCGUGCACGCGAGGAGCCUCACGGCCGCGGCGGUGCUUGCUAGUGCACCGGUGGCGAGCUCUCGGAAAAAUCCAUCGUCGUCGUCUUAGCAGUCCAUGCACUUGGAUCUCGCUACGGCCGGACUGGAUCUGCCUUCUGGAUAGCGAGCAGCAGUGCUCGAGCUGGUGGUUCCAUGGAGCUGUUCAUCUAUUGUAGUUUCUGGCUUGCUACUUUUCCUUUAUUAGAGAGAUCUAGUGAAGGGGAGGAGGAGGAGUAGAUCUAAUGAUGAUUUGGUGACUUUGUCUGCCUAGGCAAAGUCAUAGGUAAGGUCAUGAUAAAUAGGUACUCGAUGUACAGGGACGUGCAUG